AGAUGCUCAAGGCUUUAGUGGCGGUAUUUGGGUGUAUCGAAUGCACAAAUCAGCAUUCGUUGUCACUGUCAGAAAGUUAUGAAGGGGUUAUCAGUUAUGUUAUUUUAUACAGGAGAAAAAUGAGGAACCAGGCACGAAAGGGAGCAAAAAGUGUGAAAGGUGGGUUGACUUUGUAGAUCCGAGAUUUGUGGGGUAUCCGAUGAACUUCUUAAGACUAUACCCUAUAAGAUUACUAGGAUUGUUCAUUUCUCACAUACUCCCUCUCUUUCUUGUGUGAUUAAUUAACUGCAUUAUUUGCAAAUAUAAGAUUAUUGUGGAAGAUGUAUACUGAAGCUAUGUAAGUCGUAUUUGGUGAACUAGGUAGAGUUUUAGACAUAGAGGUCGAUGAGUUUGAUAAGAUUAUGAGUAUUAUUACAACUCUGAUAAACUGUUGGUUGCGUGAGCAAACAUGUUGGACGGUGAGCUACCUAAAGAGGUGAUCCAUAGACUAAAGCGAGCAGCAAAACUUCUCAUCGAAUGUAAAGGUACACAGCCCAUGCUUCUGUUUCUUGUUUUUUUUUUCCAUGAAUGAGCACAUUUGCUUUCAUUGUAGAUUGUAGACAACGAAGUAUGAUGUGAACUUUGAUCUUGGUUAAUCUCUGUUUAUUACACUUGCUUAUUACUAUUUUAUCAUAUAUUGAUGUUCUUUUCUUUUCAUAGGAUUACACACUGAAGUACAACUUGCAAUUUUUUAUUUUUUUUUUAUUUUUUUUUUAAUAAUAUAGGAGAUAAUGUUAUAACUCACUCAAGAACGCAAGCUAUGGAUCUUCUCCAAGACAUACCUUUGAUUUUAACAAAAGAUAUAGUAGAACCCCAAUUAAAUAGGGAGUUAGAGAUGAUACUGAGACCAAAGGAAGUAGAGGAGAUUGCAAGGUGGUUGUUGGUAGACUCAAAUUCACCUGUGUCAGUUUUUCCUAUUGUUGGAAUUCCUGGCUCUGGCAAAACUUCUUUGGCGUACCUUCUUUAUCACCACCACAGACUCAGAAGGCAUUUCAACAGUAGAGGUUGGGUCCAUUGGGAAGACAUUUCUCAAGUCGCCGAACAAAUUGAUUUUGACCAUAAUUACUUGGUUGUAUUAGAGGACUUUCCUGAUGAGGAUGGUGAGAAAUGGUUUGAUUUGUUAGAGCCCUUGUCGUCUGCUUUUUCCAAGUGUAAACCUGGAACAAUAAUAAUAGUCACCUUCAGCUCUGCGUCUCUAGAUCCUCGAGUCCUUUUUCAGCUCCCGCUGGCUAAAGGUGCGCCCUUUUCAUUAAGAGCAUCAUUUCAUCCAGAGAAAUAGCAGAAGUGGACAGAAAUCCCCAUCUAAACGACACUGCUCUUAAAAUUUUUAACAAGUGUUCCAAUAAUCUCCGCGUCAUAAGAAUUGUAGCCUAUAUUCUUUCUUUUCAACCUCCUUCCAAAUGGAAGUACUUCAAUGAAGAUGUGUUCAACAUACAAAAUCCUGCAAAACAUAUUUUACCAAUUUUUGAUGUAAUACAACAAAUCCAACAUUUGCAAUUGAUUUCGCUGUUUCCACCUGAUCAUGAGUUUAACAAGGAAAAAUUAUACCAGCUUUGGGAUGCUCAACAGAAGCUUACAGAGCCCUUUAAAGAAUUGUUUGAGGCGCUUCUUGGCAACGAAAUUUUAUUCAAAUGUUCCAAAAGAGAUAGAAGUGGUGUCAUAGUCUGCUUCAAGGUCCAUCCUUUUGUGCAUGAGGUGACAAAGCAUUUCGCACGUAAUCGAUGCCUUAUGGUAGAAAGUCCUUAUUCCAUAUUUCGCAAAAUAAGACAUGUAAGCUUUACUGAUGACUUGUUUUGGAGGUUUUCAUCCAGGCAACUCAGGAAUCUGGAGUCUCUUGACUCUCUCCUUGUGUUACCUAGAAAGUCGUGCAACAUUUCUAGUGGUCAUAAGCUCAGUAUCCUGUUGGAAUCUCAUCUUAUGAGCUUGCAAGCUUUAGAUUUAGCCAUUUUGGAUUGUAGAAACUAUCUGAAUUCCAUUGGGAGGCUAAAAUACUUGAAGUACCUCAGACUUGGUUUCUCCUCUGAUGCUCUUCCCGAGUGAAUCACAAACCUCAAGUUCUUGCAAACUUUGGAUCUUCAACACUCUAGGGUUCGGGAGCUACCAAAAGGCUUUCAUAAAUUGAGCCAUUUGAAGCACUUGUAUAUUGGAGAUGGAUUGAUUGAUCUGCCGCCUAGGUUUGGGGAAUUAACAGGACUACAAACUUUAGAUAUCUUCAUUGUUGGAAAUAAUAAUGGGUUGGAUGCACUGGCUUGCUUCACUCAUCUUGCUGGAAAGCUAAUGGUUCGAUAUCAGAAUGGUCGUGAGGUGCAUGUAUUACCAGAGGAUACAACAUUUUUAAAGGACAAGAAGCUUCAUGAGCUCUCAUUAGAAUGGUCAUAUUCAAAUGCAGAACCAUCAGAAGAGAAAUACGAAAAGGAAGAUGACAUGGAGUUAGAAUUAUUGCAGCCUUCUUCCACCCUCAAAUUCCUAACAGUAAGGAACUGGAAGGGAGAUAGGUUUCCAUACAUAUAGCUGAUUGCACUCAAUGCAUUCAUCUUCCAUCCUUCAGUAAAAUUGGCUGUCUUAAGUCUCUUGAGCUGUGGGGGCUUAUUGCCUUGGAGUGGAUAGAAAAUUAUGAUAAUGACAGUAUGGUUUCAUCUGAAACACCAUUCUUCCCCUCCUUAGAGCAUCUGAGUUUGGUUAAUUUACCACAACUAAAAGGAUGGUCAAGAGUUAUAGAGCACAAUGCUGAUUACGAACAAGAGAAACAAAGGAAUCUCCCUCGACUUAAUGAUCUCAGACUAAGCGGUUGCCCAGAGUUGAUCUUAAUGCCUGAUAUGCCAACUCUUCAUUCAUUGGAGAUAAGCAACUGCCACAAGGAUCUCCUGCAACACUUUCUCAGUGUCCAAGCAUCAACAGCGGUAUCAUCAUCAUCAUCAGCUUCAGCAGUAGUUCCGGUACUUCAGAAUCUCUGCUCUUUGACAGUGUCAAAUAUGUCAAUAGAAGAACCCCUGCUAAUGGGCCUUAAGUGCCUCACAACACUUGAGGAACUCUCUCUCAGUUGGCUUUAUAAUCUCAGACUUCUACCAGAGUCGAUUGGACAUCUCAUCCAGCUCCGUCAGCUUGCCAUCAGAUAUUUGCCUAAUUUAUUGGAUCUCCCUGAAUCACUAGCAGGCCUCUCCGCUUUAGAACAUUUGGAGAUCCAAUAUUGUCCGAGAUUGAAACAAGUUCCAGGCUAUUUUUCUGAACUCGAGUCGAAAAACGGACUCCAUAUUAAGGAAUGUGUGAACCUGGAGAAGAUGUCAGCAACCUGAUGGACAACUAUGGCAAUCGGCAUCAUCAGUUUGUAAGCUAUAUCAAGGAUAUGUUAAGAAGCACGAGAUGUCGCUUUGGAUGUGUGCGAGCAAGGAGUACAUAAUUGUUCCAGGACCAAGAAGAGAGAGCAACCGAGAGUUCAAGAUUGAGAGGACAAGCUAAGGUAGAUCAUUUUUAAGUUCUCUGCCUCUCUGGUUCAAAGUUACUGAAUACUUUGUACUGUUAUUGCAGACUGAAAACAGAUGAUGCAGCUAGAGAAAUCUGUAAUUUAUAGUAAUUUGCUAAUUCUAGUUAUCUGUGAACCAAUUGGAAUAAUGU
Molecule: long non-coding RNA, 3651 nt
Organism: Chenopodium quinoa (quinoa)
Lineage: Eukaryota; Viridiplantae; Streptophyta; Magnoliopsida; Caryophyllales; Amaranthaceae
Exons: 3
Source: RefSeq, a predicted model, not a curated record